AGAGUUUGAUCAUGGCUCAGCCUGAACGCUGGCGGCGUGGCUAAGACAUGCAAGUCGCACGGAGGUAGCAAUACCUCAGUGGCGAACGGGUGAGUAAUGAAUCGCUAAUGUGCCCCGGACUCUGAGAUAGCUGGCCGAAAGGCCAGGUAAUAUCAGAUGAUAUAACUUUCUCGCAUGAGAGAGUUCUCAAAGGUCCGCCGGUCUGGGAGCAGGCGAUUUCGUAUCAGCUAGUUGGUGAGGUAACGGCUCACCAAGGCGACGACGCGUAGCCGGACUGAGAGGUUGGCCGGCCACAUUGGGACUGAGACACUGCCCAGACUCCUACGGGGGGCUGCAGUAACGAAUCUUCCGCAAUGCACGAAAGUGUGACGGAGCGACGCCGCGUGUAGGACGAAGCCCUUCGGGGUGUAAACUACUGUCAGGGGUUAGAAAGUUCUGAUCAACCCCAGAGGAAGGGACGGCUAACUCUGUGCCAGCAGCCGCGGUAAGACAGAGGUCCCGAGCGUUAGGCGGAAUCACUGGGCUUAAAGCGUGUGUAGGCGGAUCGUUAAGUGCCUUGUGAAAUCCCACGGCUCAACCGUGGAACUGCUUGGCAUACUGGCGGUCUUGAGCAACCUAGGGGCAAGUGGAACAAAUGGUGGAGCGGUGAAAUGCGUAGAUAUCAUUUGGAACGCCAAUGGUGAAAACAGCUUGCUGGGGGUUUCUGACGCUGAGACACGAAAGCCAGGGGAGCGAACGGGAUUAGAUACCCUUGUAGUCC
This 760-nucleotide ribosomal RNA is filed under the name uncultured bacterium. RNAcentral describes it as "bacterial SSU rRNA". It matches the Rfam family "Bacterial small subunit ribosomal RNA", at positions 8 to 796 of the family's 1533-position model. The record is from RNAcentral.